GAAAUGCGAUAAGUAAUGUGAAUUGCAGAAUUCAGUGAAUCAUCGAAUCUUUGAACGCACAUUGCGCCCGUUAGCAUUCUAGCGGGCAUGCCUGUCCGAGCGUCAUUUCAACCCUCAGGGCCCCCCGUUCCGGCGGGCGGACCUGGCGUUGGGGAUCGGCCCGCCCCGUGCGGCGCCGUCCCCCAAAUACAGUGGCGGUCCCGCCGCAGCCUCCCCUGCGUAGUAGUUUACAACCUCGCAUCGGAGCGCGGCGCGGCCACGCCGUAAAACCCCCGACUUUCUGAACGUUGACCUCGGAUCAGGUAGGAAUACCCGCUGAACUUAAGC
This 327-nucleotide unclassified non-coding RNA is filed under the name plant metagenome. Its description in RNAcentral is "partial contains 5.8S ribosomal RNA, internal transcribed spacer 2, and large subunit ribosomal RNA". The stretch from base 1 to 105 matches the Rfam family "5.8S ribosomal RNA", at positions 50 to 154 of the family's 154-position model. The record is from RNAcentral.